UGGCUGAGGCCACCACAGAGUCAUAGAAGGUAUUCAGGAGUGGGCCCUCCACUCCAAACGACCUGAGUCUCCACAGCAGGUACAGCCUGCUCUGCCCUUAAUAUAUGCAUAAACAGUAAAAAUCCACAUUUUGUGUCCCAAAUCUUUCUGACACCCUCACUUAUUCUCGACAUUGUUGAAUAUUCAAAAAUGGAGUGUACAAAACAAGCUAGCUACUUUACUGAUGCAAAACAAAUCAACAGCAACACUAACUACUUCCUCCAAAAUCGUUGUAAAAUUGAUUAAUCAUCUCUCGAAAUACAUUUUGAACAAAUAGUGAACAUAAUUUCGUCAGUGAAGGUUUCAUCAGCUGCACAUCUCUUUCCCAUUGAAAUUCCUAAACUCAGUGCAGCGAAUGACCCAAUUAAAGACAUUAAAUGGUGAACAACGUUUACAGAAACUACAGCUGAUCCUAAAUGCAACAGUCAGACUUCUUACUUCUCCGGUGGCGCCAGUGUCCGGUGUUCUGACAAAACGUCCUACCUAUUAAGCUGUCCUACUUGUUGUUACUGCGCAUGCGCACAAUUCAAAACGGCCAUAUUUCCGGUUUAAAUAGUACACGCCUAUUAUUUCAUCCUACCCUGAUCUUGUGCCGAUCUCGUUGCUUCGAAAAAAGUUAUGGAGAACAAAUACGAGGAACUGCUCAUGUUUCUGUCUGUUGGGUCCUACCCAUCUGAAUACGAUAAGUCCCAGAGGCAAACCCUUAGGAGAUACGCCGCAAAAUUCAGGCUGAAGGGCGGAGUGCUCUUGUUUGGAAACAGGAGAGUGAUAAAAACAAAAGAAGAAGCCAUGGGACUAUUUCAAGUCCCAUCGGUGGACACACUGGUGUACUCAAGACUCGAACUGCAAUGUGUUCCAGAUUUUACUGGUAUGGAAUGUCGGUUGACAUUGUUAAUUGGGAAGUUGUCAUUUAUAUUGCAUGUGCAAAAUAUAAAGAGAGCAACCAAGAAUAUAAAUGCAAAAAAUGUAAGGAAAACACGUAACAACUUCAAAUAAAAACAGCUGUCUUUUCCCCUCCAUGUCUCUUUGUAUUCUUUGUCAACAUUAGAUGAUUGUGUGCUGGAGGCAUGUUUUGAUAGUGUGAUUUGGCCACCUGAACGUCCUACCUAAAUAAAUCCAAGCAGGAAGCAUGUUCUGAACGUCCUAGCGAAAUAAAUCCAAGUUUUUAAGUGUGAUUUGGCCAUCUGAACGUCCUACCUAUAGAUAUGUACGAUGGAGCCAUUAACCACGUAAGGUAGCAUAUUCUGAUAAGGUAGCACGGAUUGAUAGACAAGACCAUAAAUUUACGCUACGGUAGCGCUACAGUAGGACGUUUUGUCAGAACACCGGCAGCCUCGCCUCUGUCAGUGCGCCCCAGGGUGGCUGUGGCUACAAUGUAGCUUGCCAUCACCAGUGUGUGAAUGUGUGUGUGAAUGUGUGUGUGAAUGGGUGGAUGACUGAAUGUAGUGUAAAGUGCAAAGGGGUCCAUAGGGACUAAGUAAAGCGCUAUACAAAUGCAGACCAUUUACCAUUUACUUCUUACUUAAAACCAAAAAUAGAGAACACAUGAACCCUGUUUUAGCUUCUUUUCACUGGUGACCUGUUAAUUUGAGAAUUGACUUGAAGAUUUUUUUUGUGAAUUUUCCAAGGCCCUAUGUAGCCCCGCCAUCAAAUCAUAUUUCUAAUCUGCUGACGCUGUACUUGCUCAGCCAUAACCUGAGGUCCUCAUUACUUUUUUACUCAAACUGUUACCUAAUUUAAUAUAAAGAUCCAGAUUUCUGACCUCAAAACCUAAAAUCAGACCACA
Molecule: long non-coding RNA, 1825 nt
Organism: Oreochromis aureus
Lineage: Eukaryota; Metazoa; Chordata; Actinopteri; Cichliformes; Cichlidae
Exons: 3
Source: RefSeq, a predicted model, not a curated record